This 628-nucleotide ribosomal RNA is filed under the name Trichoderma koningii. RNAcentral describes it as "eukaryotic LSU rRNA". The stretch from base 239 to 392 matches the Rfam family "5.8S ribosomal RNA". RNAcentral also lists the same sequence under 4 other names. Lineage: Eukaryota; Fungi; Ascomycota; Sordariomycetes; Hypocreales; Hypocreaceae. The record is from RNAcentral.
GGAAGUAAAAGUCGUAACAAGGUCUCCGUUGGUGAACCAGCGGAGGGAUCAUUACCGAGUUUACAACUCCCAAACCCAAUGUGAACCAUACCAAACUGUUGCCUCGGCGGGGUCACGCCCCGGGUGCGUCGCAGCCCCGGAACCAGGCGCCCGCCGGAGGGACCAACCAAACUCUUUCUGUAGUCCCCUCGCGGACGUUAUUUCUUACAGCUCUGAGCAAAAAUUCAAAAUGAAUCAAAACUUUCAACAACGGAUCUCUUGGUUCUGGCAUCGAUGAAGAACGCAGCGAAAUGCGAUAAGUAAUGUGAAUUGCAGAAUUCAGUGAAUCAUCGAAUCUUUGAACGCACAUUGCGCCCGCCAGUAUUCUGGCGGGCAUGCCUGUCCGAGCGUCAUUUCAACCCUCGAACCCCUCCGGGGGGUCGGCGUUGGGGAUCGGGAACCCCUAAGACGGGAUCCCGGCCCCGAAAUACAGUGGCGGUCUCGCCGCAGCCUCUCCUGCGCAGUAGUUUGCACAACUCGCACCGGGAGCGCGGCGCGUCCACGUCCGUAAAACACCCAACUUCUGAAAUGUUGACCUCGGAUCAGGUAGGAAUACCCGCUGAACUUAAGCAUAUCAAUAAGCGGAGGA